This is a long non-coding RNA of Macaca fascicularis (crab-eating macaque), 1449 nucleotides long. Lineage: Eukaryota; Metazoa; Chordata; Mammalia; Primates; Cercopithecidae. The record is from Ensembl.
GGGGUGUGCGGCUGGCUCGUCCCGCCCCUGCCCCUGAGUGACAGGACCGUGGACAGCAACAUUUCCCACCGGACACGAAGUUUGUCGGCCCUUGCCUUGGCAGAGCUGAGUAAGAAAAAUCACCAAGAAUAUUAUUUUUGGUAUUUGGAAUUGAAUUUGCCAGGAAUGCAAGCACAGCUACCUAACUAAAGACCUUGGCUUUGGAAACAUCUUACCCCUUGGCAGCUCUCCAGAGUUUAGACUUGGCAGCAUCAAAGACACAACGCAAGGCAUUUUGGAGAUCAAAGAUGGGUAGAAAAGAUGCUUCUACUAUAAAACUUCCUGUUGAUCAGUACAGAAAACAAAUUGGUAAACAGGAUUAUAAAAAAACUAAACCUAUUUUACGAGCAACCAAAUUAAAAGCAGAAGCAAAGAAAACAGCAAUAGGCAUAAAGUUGGCCUUGUACUUGCAGCUAUAUUGGCGCUACUACUGGCUUUCUAUGCUUUCUUUUAUCUCAGACUCACCACAGAUGUUGACCCUGAUCUGGACCAAGAUGAAGAUUAGCUAAGCAGCAAUCAAUGCAUGAAAGAGAAAUAACUUUAUGAAAGCACCCUUUGGGACCAAAACUUUCAAUACUGAACCUGUAACAUCUUUAAUUCUUUCUGCUAAUAUUUUCAGUUUGCAGACAUAUGAUUUUAAAUAGUUGCAUAGGAUAUCAAGAAAAGAACCUUACCUAGCAAUGCAGUAUAAUAUGUGCUACUAGAUACUUUUAUAUAUCUUUCUACUUUGACAGCCACCCUAUACAUGAUACAUUUAGAUGAAAUGGAAACCAGAUCCUAAAUGUUUCAAAUGUCAUUGCCAAUUUAUGUAUAUAAUUCCAUCACUUCCAGAUUACUAAGUCUGUUUUUGUUCUAUAUACAUCAUAAUUUAGUAUAUAUUCUUAUUUACAGAAACAUACUCAAAUCACAUUCAGAAAGAACAAAAAGUCAUGGGAAAUUUUUUAUUUUCCGACAAAGCCCUGCUCUCUUUCUGGAAGUAUUUUAUAUCAUUAGAGAGACUAUCUGCACAUACAUCUACAGUAAUCUUUUUCCUUCUUUGCCAACUGUUCAUUGCACAUGUGCUCCAUCAGAAAUGGCACCUGGAUGACAGAAGCUCAAAGAGUCACAUAUGUCUCUAAAAUAGAGUUCUUUUCCUCUUGGGCUGUCUGAACUGGUGUAAAUAGAAAGUUCAGUUGAUCUUGGUUUUAAUUAACUUAUUACUCUAUUAAUAUAACCUUGGAAUUCUAUUUUAAUUAUGUUGUUCUGGCUGCUUGUAGUAUCAGUUUGCCCCUCUUGUUAAGGAGAUAUGUAACAAUCUGUCAUUUAAUUGUGCCGUCUUUUUCACAUAACAGUAAAAGCAAAAAUCCUACCUACUCAGAAUCAUCUUCUUAGGUUGUCUCCUAAAUCUGAACAAUACAGUGGUUUUAUAAA